GCUUGCAGCCAUAGGCUCAUUUGAUCUGAUCCCAUUGCAUCUCACUAGCUAAGCAGAGCUAUACUACUCACUAUUUGGAUGGGAGACCCCCGAAGUAAGGGGUGAUGCUGCAGGAA
This 116-nucleotide ribosomal RNA is filed under the name Chrysemys picta bellii (western painted turtle). The record is from RNAcentral. Lineage: Eukaryota; Metazoa; Chordata; Testudines; Emydidae.